RNAcentral lists this ribosomal RNA (497 nucleotides) under uncultured bacterium. RNAcentral's name for it is "partial 16S ribosomal RNA". It matches the Rfam family "Bacterial small subunit ribosomal RNA", at positions 28 to 507 of the family's 1533-position model. The record is from RNAcentral.
GAUGAACGCUGGCGGCGUGCCUAAUACAUGCAAGUCGGGCGAACAGACGAGGAGCUUGCUCCUCUGACGAUAGCGGCGGACGGGUGAGUAACACGUGGAUAACCUACCUAUAAGACUGGGAUAACUUCGGGAAACCGGAGCUAAUACCGGAUAAUAUAUUGAACCGCAUGGUUCAAUAGUGAAAGACGGUUUUGCUGUCACUUAUAGAUGGAUCCGCGCCGCAUUAGCUAGUUGGUAAGGUAACGGCUUACCAAGGCGACGAUGCGUAGCCGACCUGGGAGGGUGAUCGGCCACACUGGAACUGAGACACGGUCCAGACUCCUACGGGAGGCAGCAGUAGGGAAUCUUCCGCAAUGGGCGAAAGCCUGACGGGGCAACGCCGCGUGAGUGAUGAAGGUCUUCGGAUCGUAAAACUCUGUUAUUAGGGAAGAACAAAUGUGUAAGUAACUAUGCACGUCUUGACGGUACCUAAUCAGAAAGCCACGGCUAACUACGUG